Fundulus heteroclitus (mummichog) is the source of this 1071-nucleotide long non-coding RNA. RefSeq lists it as uncharacterized. The transcript is spliced from 2 exons. NCBI's taxonomy places the organism in Eukaryota, Metazoa, Chordata, Actinopteri, Cyprinodontiformes, Fundulidae. The record is from RefSeq and is a predicted model, not a curated record.
AAAAAAAAGCAAUUACUCAAUUUUAUUUGAGGGUAUCAGAGUAAAGAGAGCUUAAAAUUGUAAAAUUGAAUACUAAAACAUGUAUAAUUUUCCAUCCACUUCCACUAACAUAAUAGGUGCGUAUUCUGUCAGUUAAAAUAUUUGUUUGGGCUUUUAACAUUAUAUAUUUGCAGAAGCCAUAAUUAGAAAAACAAAACAAGAGAUGAAUUUGAACCAGGCUAUUUCAGGAUUCUCACAUAUGUGCUUGUAAUUAGUCUGGUAAUCACUUCUGUGUAUCUCCGAGCAAAACAUUUGCCUCAUUUUAACCUCCUUAUAAUGAGAUCCAGAGGGGAAAGACUUGGAAUGGAAUCAAUGCAUCUCAAUGGGGGUUCUCACAUUGGUCAUGCAAGUUAAAGCAGGUGCUGCAGUUUGUCUCCAGUCGGUUCACAUUGUUUCUACUGUGGACUGGCCUUAGAUUUGUGUAGUGUUGCCAUGUCCUGUAUAUGUUGUGCUUCCUGAAAUUUGAACACACCAACAAAAAACAAAACAAAACACUAGAUGUUUUUCCUUUUACUUGUGAUGGUUCAGACAGUUGGGCUUUCAAAUGAAUAUUGCAAAGAGAUCAUGCAAACCCCUGUGAGGCAGAACUUGUCACUAUAGUAUAGAAUAUCUCUGUUACUAUUCUAAUAUGGCACAGCUAGCUGGACAAGAUUUGGUUGCACCCGCCGUCUUGGACAAAUAUAAACCAGACCCUUUUAAGUCCUAGCUUCCUGCUGGGUAUUUAACAAAUUGCAGGGACAGCUACAAUUCAUACCCACGGGGCUAUUCUGCAGUUUGGAUUCAAGUGGGAUGAAUCAGAUUGUGAAGAGAAAACCUGUGUGCUCCAAUGAAACAAACGGAAAAAGAACGUUUACCAAAGCCAAGGAGCUCGGAUAUCUCAACUAACCACAUUCCGCAUCCCGAUACAUGUGUGUGUUCAGGGCAUUAUCAGACUGGUAAGUUUGAAUCAAAGCUUACUGUGCUGUUUUACGCGGAGGUUAGCAGGCUGCUAGAACUAGCCUAGUCAGCUGAAGUUAGCCAAAAAAAAAAAAA